Long non-coding RNA from Carassius gibelio (silver crucian carp), 2990 nucleotides. RefSeq lists it as uncharacterized. NCBI's taxonomy places the organism in Eukaryota, Metazoa, Chordata, Actinopteri, Cypriniformes, Cyprinidae. The record is from RefSeq and is a predicted model, not a curated record. The transcript is spliced from 3 exons.
GGAGACGACAAGUGCUGAUUGGGCCACGUUUAAAUCCACCAAUCACUGCAUACUUUUCUCGUGACGUAAGGUAAUUUGAAAUCGACGAAACGCGCGAACGCCGAACGGUUGUUGAAGAUAUUGAUGUACAGUGUGCGUGGUCGGAAACGUCUUAUUUGACGGAACUUAAUUGAGUAUGGACUGAGUUUUUCCACACUUCAAACGCGGCGGAAUCGGGUACAGAGGUGCUGGAGGAUGCUUUACUCGCGGGUACAGUGCGUGACCUUAACAACAAACCUGUGUCCAGAACCCAAACUGCCUGCUUGACGAUGAACACGGAUGAUGCAAUAAAAGUCUUCAUUUACAACAAAGGAUUUACACAAGCUCCAGUCUGGAUCCAGAUAACCUGAGAAGAGAUGAUGCUGACCCUCAGAGGACCUCAGAUGAUGCUAACCCUGAACAGGGCCGGCGCAAGCUCAAAUGCCGCUCUAGGCAGAGCACGAUCAUGCCGCCCCCACCUCACAUUCACAAUUAGGGAUCCUUAAGAUGCAUGUAAACUUUUUUUUUUUUUAAUCUAUGAAAUUACACUAAAAUAAAAACAUGCAAGCAUGUUUUCAGAGUUUUUUUUUUCCAUUCUGCAAAAAGGUGAAAAAGGUACACAAUGCAACAGCUGCAUAUAAUUUCUGUUUUAUAGGCUAAUAGAUUGUGUACAGAAUAAAACUAAACAUAUGCACACAACUUUUUAGCUCACAAAACUGGAGGUUUCGAUUUUUUCUUGACUGAUAAACACAUUUACACACAUUUCAGAAGCGUGCACGUCGGGCUUUCGCAGCGGCAAACGCUUCGAUUGCUCCCUCGAGUUUAACUUGUACUUCCAAGAUAAUUUUUAUCAGUUUAAGCUUUGAGAAACUGCCUUCUCCAGAGCUCACAGUGACGGGGAGAGUGAGAAGCACUCUCAAUGCUACAAAAACAUUUGGAAAAAUUGAUUCCAUCCCUUUUUCACAGAUGAAUUUAAGCGCAUCCAGUGGUUUAGAUCCAGCAACCAGGCGUCUGCCCAAAGCAGUCAGCUCUUCAAACAAUUCAUGCCCAUCAACAUCCCGCGAGUCUCCAUGAGUCAGGGCCUUUUCCUGUCCUAAGCAAUCCUGAAGAACUAUUGUAUUCUCCUUUUCUUUGAGAGAUGCGAUGUCAUAUAAAAAUCCAAAUACGCGCCCAUUGUCUAAGCAGCGAAAAGCACUCUUCCACAGAGGCAAUUGUACUCAUGACCAGAUAAUUUUAUUCGUUUUGACAUUUUUUAAUAUACAUUAAAGUAUUUUGCAUGCAUAUAGACCUACUAAUAGGGCGCUGCCGGGCGGGAAUUUUUAUUCGAAAAGUAUGUAUAUAUAUAUAUAUAUAUUAGGGGUGUAACGGUUCACAAAAUUCACGGUUCGGUUCGGUUCGAUACACUGAUGUCACGGUUCGGUUCGGUACAGUUCGGUACGUUUUAGAUACAGCAAAAAGAAAAAAUUGGCAGAUAAAUUUCCUUGAUUUUUAUUUAAAUGUUUUAUUUAUUAAAACUAACAAAGUAUGUGUUUUUUUUUGUUUGUUUUUUUUUACAUUGAACAAUGAUGGAGCUAUUCUUUACCCAUCUUCUAUGGUGUUUUCUUAGCAGCAUACUGUAUAAAACAAAAAUAGCUCCUUAUAAAUUUUUUUUACAAAUUAAAUGUAAUAUUGUUGUAGUAGUUAUGAACAAAUACAAAGAUGUAACUCUUUUUAUAUUGAACUCUAUAACUCUUUAUAUUGAGUGUGUUUUUACUCAGUUGGUUCUCUAUUUGGGCUUAUGUUUUUUGGAACAAAGCAGGAAUUACGGUCUGGCUGAAAUGGGCUCGUGAAGGAAUAUUGUAAUGGGGCUCAAUUACAUUAAGCAUGUUCUUAAAACCUGCGUUUUCCACUACAGAGUAAGGUCUCAUAUCCGCGGCUAUAACGUAAAUGCACCAUUCGCUGCGGUGAUGUCCGUAUACGGAGCCCAGGACGUCACCUGUAGGAGAAAAAAAAUCAAUCCGUGGCGACGGUUUUGCAAUCCGUCCCCUCAGUUUAUAAACCGUACUCACGAAUUCAUAAACUGUUCACUCGAUUUAACAAAUCGUGCCCACGAAUUUCCAAUCCGUGCACUCAGAUUUUGUAAACCGUACCCUCGGUUUUUGAAUCCGUACUCACGAAUUCAUAAUCCGUGCGCACGCUUUCGCAAUCCGUUCCCUCGGAUUUGUAAACCGUACUCACGGAUUCAUGCAGCAAACUCCUACGUGUUAACAUACAGUUUUAUUGAAUAUUAUUAUGUGGAAUAGGUUUACAGCAAAGUGCCUUAAGUGAUUCUCUAUCAAGUGUAGUACGAGGUGGAAUACAAAGAUUUAAUAAGAAAGAUGCGCAUUAAAAUCUUGUUCAAUUGCUGAUAAUCUAUAAUAGCACUUGAUUAUUAUUGUGCAAUAAACCUGGCAUUGUGACUGACUCUGGAGUAAUUUUUUCCUCUUUUGUAAGUUAUUUUGGAUAAAAGAUUCUUAUGCAUAACCUGUUUAAUAAUAUAUAAUAAUGAUACAAAUAAAAAUAAAGUUAUUUUUUAUAAUUUUAAUUUGUAGGCUAAAUAAAUGAGUACAAGACAGUAAAAAUGUUUGUCAUAAAAUAAUUUGUGAAUUGCUUUAUUUUUAAAUAACCUUUGACAGUUUUGGAAAUGCUUGUGUACAAUUCUUUCUUAACAUGAAGACUUAUUUUUGUGAUUUUAUUAUACUAAGCUCCACCCACCUCACCCCACCUGCCGGAGUUAGAUGCAUGUUUCACUGUUAAGUGUAAAAUGCGUGUCAGUUUUCAAAUCCGAGGGAACGGAUUGCGAAAGCGUGCGCACGGAUUAUGAAUUCGUGGGUACGGAUUCAAAAACCGAGGGUACGGUUUACACAAUCUGAGCGCACGCAUUGGGAAUUCGUGGGCACGGUUUGUUAAUCCGUGGGUACGAUUUGUUAAACCGAGUGAACAGUUUAUUAAUU